ACGACUGCUAAGACUGGAUAGGAGACAAGAAGGCAUCUUCUUGUUUUUAAAAGACCUAGCAAUAGGUAUGCUUAGGGAGGAGCUUGCGUCACAUUAGUUAGUUGGUGGGGUAAAGGCCUACCAAGACUAUGAUGUGUAGCCGGGCUGAGAGGUUGAACGGCCACAUUGGGACUGAGACACGGCCCAAACUCCUACGGGAGGCAGCAGUAGGGAAUUUUCGGCAAUGGAGGAAACUCUGACCGAGCAACGCCGCGUGAACGAUGAAGUAUUUCGGUACGUAAAGUUCUUUUAUUAGGGAAGAAUAAAUGAUGGAAAAAUCAUUCUGACGGUACCUAAUGAAUAAGCCCCGGCUAACUAUGUGCCAGCAGCCGCGGUAAUACAUAGGGGGCAAGCGUUAUCCGGAAUUAUUGGGCGUAAAGGGUGCGUAGGCGGUUAAAUAAGUUUGUGGUCUAAGUGCAAUGCUCAACAUUGUGAUGCUAUAAAAACUGUUUAGCUAGAGUAAGAUAGAGGCAAGUGGAAUUCCAUGUGUAGUGGUAAAAUGCGUAAAUAUAUGGAGGAACACCAGUAGCGAAGGCGGCUUGCUGGGUCUUUACUGACGCUGAGGCACGAAAGCGUGGGGAGCAAACAGGAUUAGAUACCCUGGUAGUCCACGCCGUAAACGAUGAGUACUAAACGUUGGGUAAAACCAGUGUUGAAGUUAACACACUAAGUACUCCGCCUGAGUAGUACGUACGCAAGUAUGAAACUUAAAGGAAUUGACGGGACUCCGCACAAGCGGUGGAUCAUGUUGUUUAAUUCGAAGGUACCCGAAAAACCUCACCAGGUCUUGACAUGCUUCUGCAAAGCUGUAGAAACACAGUGGAGGUUAUCAGUUGCACAGGUGGUGCAUGGUUGUCGUCAGCUCGUGUCGUGAGAUGUUGGGUUAAGUCCCGCAACGAGCGCAACCCUUAUUGUUAGUUACCAGCACGUAAUGGUGGGGACUUUAGCAAGACUGCCAGUGAUAAAUUGGAGGAAGGUGGGGACGACGUCAAAUCAUCAUGCCCCUUAUGACCUGGGCUACAAACGUGAUACAAUGGCUGUUACAAAGGGUAGCUGAAGCGCAAGUUUUUGGCGAAUCUCAAAAAAACAGUCUCAGUUCGGAUUGAAGUCUGCAACUCGACUUCAUGAAGUUGGAAUCGCUAGUAAUCGCGAAUCAGCAUGUCGCGGUGAAUACGUUCACGGGGUUUGUACACACCGCCCGUCA
This 1243-nucleotide ribosomal RNA is filed under the name 'Rosa xanthina' witches'-broom phytoplasma. RNAcentral describes it as "bacterial SSU rRNA". It matches the Rfam family "Bacterial small subunit ribosomal RNA", at positions 156 to 1399 of the family's 1533-position model. RNAcentral also lists the same sequence under 1 other name. Lineage: Bacteria; Bacillati; Mycoplasmatota; Mollicutes; Acholeplasmatales; Acholeplasmataceae. The record is from RNAcentral.